CCCGAAACCCGGUGAUCUAGCCAUGGGCAGGUUGAAGGUUGGGUAACACUAACUGGAGGACCGAACCGACUAAUGUUGAAAAAUUAGCGGAUGACCUGUGGCUGGGGGUGAAAGGCCAAUCAAACCGGGAGAUAGCUGGUUCUCCCCGAAAGCUAUUUAGGUAGCGCCUCGUGAAUUCAUCUCCGGGGGUAGAGCACUGUUUCGGCUAGGGGGCCAUCCCGGCUUACCAACCCGAUGCAAACUGCGAAUACCGGAGAAUGUUAUCACGGGAGACACACGGCGGGUGCUAACGUCCGUCGUGAAGAGGGAAACAACCCAGACCGCCAGCUAAGGUCCCAAAGUCAUGGUUAAGUGGGAAACGAUGUGGGAAGGCCCAGACAGCCAGGAUGUUGGCUUAGAAGCAGCCAUCAUUUAAAGAAAGCGUAAUAGCUCACUGGUCGAGUCGGCCUGCGCGGAAGAUGUAACGGGGCUAAACCAUGCACCGAAGCUGCGGCAGCGACGCUGAUGCGUUGUUGGGUAGGGGAGCGUUCUGUAAGCCUGCGAAGGUGGCCUGUGAGGGUUGCUGGAGGUAUCAGAAGUGCGAAUGCUGACAUAAGUAACGAUAAAGCGGGUGAAAAGCCCGCUCGCCGGAAGACCAAGGGUUCCUGUCCAACGUUAAUCGGGGCAGGGUGAGUCGACCCCUAAGGCGAGGCCGAAAGGCGUAGUCGAUGGGAAACGGGUUAAUAUUCCCGUACUUGGUGUUACUGCGAAGGGGGGACGGAGAAGGCUAUGUUGGCCGGGCGACGGUUGUCCCGGUUUAAGCGUGUAGGUGUGUGUUCCAGGUAAAUCCGGUUCACUUUAACACUGAGGCGUGAUGACGAGGCACUACGGUGCUGAAGCAACAAAUGCCCUGCUUCCAGGAAAAGCCUCUAAGCAUCAGGUAACAUCAAAUCGUACCCCAAACCGACACAGGUGGUCAGGUAGAGAAUACCAAGGCGCUUGAGAGAACUCGGGUGAAGGAACUAGGCAAAAUGGUGCCGUAACUUCGGGAGAAGGCACGCUGACACGUAGGUGAAGUGAUUUACUCAUGGAGCUGAAGUCAGUCGAAGAUACCAGCUGGCUGCAACUGUUUAUUAAAAACACAGCACUGUGCAAACACGAAAGUGGACGUAUACGGUGUGACGCCUGCCCGGUGCCGGAAGGUUAAUUGAUGGGGUCAGCGCAAGCGAAGCUCCUGAUCGAAGCCCCGGUAAACGGCGGCCGUAACUAUAACGGUCCUAAGGUAGCGAAAUUCCUUGUCGGGUAAGUUCCGACCUGCACGAAUGGCGUAAUGAUGGCCAGGCUGUCUCCACCCGAGACUCAGUGAAAUUGAACUCGCUGUGAAGAUGCAGUGUACCCGCGGCAAGACGGAAAGACCCCGUGAACCUUUACUAUAGCUUGACACUGAACAUUGAGCCUUGAUGUGUAGGAUAGGUGGGAGGCUUUGAAGUGUGGACGCCAGUCUGCAUGGAGCCGACCUUGAAAUACCACCCUUUAAUGUUUGAUGUUCUAACGUGGACCCGUGAUCCGGGUUGCGGACAGUGUCUGGUGGGUAGUUUGACUGGGGCGGUCUCCUCCUAAAGAGUAACGGAGGAGCACGAAGGUUGGCUAAUCCUGGUCGGACAUCAGGAGGUUAGUGCAAUGGCAUAAGCCAGCUUGACUGCGAGCGUGACGGCGCGAGCAGGUGCGAAAGCAGGUCAUAGUGAUCCGGUGGUUCUGAAUGGAAGGGCCAUCGCUCAACGGAUAAAAGGUACUCCGGGGAUAACAGGCUGAUACCGCCCAAGAGUUCAUAUCGACGGCGGUGUUUGGCACCUCGAUGUCGGCUCAUCACAUCCUGGGGCUGAAGUAGGUCCCAAGGGUAUGGCUGUUCGCCAUUUAAAGUGGUACGCGAGCUGGGUUUAGAACGUCGUGAGACAGUUCGGUCCCUAUCUGCCGUGGGCGCUGGAGAACUGAGGGGGGCUGCUCCUAGUACGAGAGGACCGGAGUGGACGCAUCACUGGUGUUCGGGUUGUCAUGCCAAUGGCACUGCCCGGUAGCUAAAUGCGGAAGAGAUAAGUGCUGAAAGCAUCUAAGCACGAAACUUGCCCCGAG
Molecule: ribosomal RNA, 2109 nt
Filed under: Salmonella enterica subsp. enterica
Lineage: Bacteria; Pseudomonadati; Pseudomonadota; Gammaproteobacteria; Enterobacterales; Enterobacteriaceae
Description: partial 23S ribosomal RNA
Rfam family: Bacterial large subunit ribosomal RNA
Source: RNAcentral